Molecule: long non-coding RNA, 328 nt
Organism: Oreochromis niloticus (Nile tilapia)
Lineage: Eukaryota; Metazoa; Chordata; Actinopteri; Cichliformes; Cichlidae
Exons: 2
Source: RefSeq, a predicted model, not a curated record
AGUUACUUCCUGGACAACCUUUCACACUCGCAAUAGCAUCACUCCCCUGGACACGGAUCUCCAUUUGCUCCUCAACAGCUCACUCUUUUUUAUCCAUUCGUGCAUUACUCCACCUGCAAACAAUGCCUGUAGAGGCUACGCCUACACUUGAAGCCACUGAAGGGUUUGAUGGCAGGGGUGAGGCAAUGUAACUGUUAUGAAUUAAACUUGUAACAGCCCAACUCAAUCUAUACUUGUCUUGUACGGUUAAGAUUGUUUUUGUAUUCAUCAGUUUUAUUUGCUUCUCUUUAUUCAAUGUCAUUUAUCAUAACAGCGCAGAGUUUACAAA